UUUAAAUGCAAUUAUAAGGUUCCGUUUCCGUCUUAUUUAAAUUUUUUUAUUACAGUAUUAUUAUUAUUAUGAGAUGAUAAAACAUAAAUAUUACUUUAUGCGUGACUUAUGUUUUCACUUUUUUUAAAUAAGACGGACGAUACACGGAAAAUUAUGGUUGCUCUUAAA
Non-coding RNA from Oryza meridionalis, 168 nucleotides. The record is from Rfam. Lineage: Eukaryota; Viridiplantae; Streptophyta; Magnoliopsida; Poales; Poaceae.